This 419-nucleotide ribosomal RNA is filed under the name bacterium. RNAcentral's name for it is "partial 16S ribosomal RNA". It matches the Rfam family "Bacterial small subunit ribosomal RNA", at positions 355 to 776 of the family's 1533-position model. The record is from RNAcentral.
UGGGGGAUAUUGCACAAUGGGCGAAAGCCUGAUGCAGCGACGCCGCGUGGGGGAUGAAGGCCUUCGGGUUGUAAACUUCUUUUGCUCUGAACAAGGCGCACCAUGGGGUGUGUUGAGUGUAGGGGUUGAUUAGCGCCGGCUAACUACGUGCCAGCAGCCGCGGUAAUACGUAGGGCGCGAGCGUUGUCCGGAAUUAUUGGGCGUAAAGGGCUUGUAGGUGGCUGGUUGCGUCUGUCGUGAAAGCUCAUGGCUUAACUGUGGGUUUGCGGUGGGUACGGGCUGGCUUGAGUGCAGUAGGGGAGGCUGGAAUUCCUAGUGUAGCGGUGGAAUGCGCAGAUAUCAGGAGGAAUACCGGUGGCGAAGGCGGGUCUCUGGGCUGUUACUGACACUGAGGAGCGAAAGCAUGGGGAGCGAACAGG